GUGCUUGCUUCGGCAGCACAUAUACUAAAAUUGGGAUGAUACAGAGAAGAUUAGCAUGGCCCCUGAAAAAAAACAAAACAAAACAAGAAAUGGGAUGAUAGUGGU
Small nuclear RNA from Prolemur simus (greater bamboo lemur), 105 nucleotides. The record is from Ensembl. Lineage: Eukaryota; Metazoa; Chordata; Mammalia; Primates; Lemuridae.